This 1443-nucleotide ribosomal RNA is filed under the name Triticum aestivum (bread wheat). RNAcentral describes it as "partial small subunit ribosomal RNA". Lineage: Eukaryota; Viridiplantae; Streptophyta; Magnoliopsida; Poales; Poaceae. The record is from RNAcentral.
AUGGAGCUCGUCCUCUACGCAACGUGCAUCCUUCUUGUCGUCUCUUCUCUGUACGUUCUCCGCCACUUCGCCGACUCCCGCCGCAACCUGCCGCCGGGUCCCCCCUCGUGGCCUCUCAUCGGAAACCUCCUCGACCUCGGCGCCCUGCCGCACCGCUCCCUCGCGCGCCUCGCCGAGCGCCACGGCCCGCUCAUGACGCUCCGCCUCGGCGCCCUCACCACCGUCAUCGCCUCCACCGCGGACACCGCCCGCGACGUCCUCCAGCGCCACGACGCCGCCUUCUCUGCGCGCUCCGUGCCCGACGCCGUCCGCGCGUGCGCCUACGACAGCCUCUCCAUGGGCUGGCUCCCGCCGAGCAGCCCCCACUGGCGCGCCCUCCGCAAGCUGUGCUCGGGGGAGCUCUUCGCGCCGCACCGCCUGGACGCGCACCAGUCCAUCCGCCGCGCGCCCGUGGACAUCAGCCUCGUCGUGUUCACCACUGCGCUCAACCUGCUCUCCUGCACCAUAUUCUCAGCCGACAUCGCCGACCUCGACGACAUAGGAGGAUCGGGGCAGUUCAUGGCCGUGAUCUCAGAGUCCCUACAAGUCGCUGGCCAGCCCAACUUGUCGGACUUCUUCCCUGCGCUCGCGCCUCUCGACCCGCAGCGGCUGAGGAAGCGCCUCGCCGUGGGGUUCAAGCGGCUGCAUGCCAUAUUAGACGAGCAGAUCGAGCGGCGCAUGCGGGAGCGCACCGCCGGGGAGCCGCCCAAGAAUGACUUCAUGGACGUGCUGCUCGACUACCGCGGCCUGGAGGAUGGCCGGGGACUCGAUCGGGAAAUGCUGCGCGCAUUACUUAUGGAUUUGUUUAUCGCUGGAAGUGAUACAAGUGCAGCAACGUUUGAGUGGGCAAUGGCUGAGCUGCUACAAAAUCCGUCGUCCAUGGCGAAAGCUCGUGAAGAACUCGCACAAGUGAUAGGCUCCAGAUCAGAAAUCGAGGAAUCGGACAUUGGCCAACUCAAGUACCUCCAGGCCAUCGUGAAAGAGGUGUUUCGCCUCCAUCCUCCUGCUCCGCUCUUGUUACCUCGCCAAGCCGAAGCGACGACGGAGCUACGGGGCUACAUGGUGCCCAAGGGCGCACGUGUGAUGUUGAAUGUCUGGGCGAUUGGCAGGGACGGCGAGCUUUGGUCUGAACCAGAGAGGUUCAUGCCGGAGAGGUUCUUGGGGAAAGACAUGGAUUACCGAGGCCGGGAUUUUGAGCUCCUUCCGUUUGGUUCUGGCCGACGGAUCUGCCCCGGGAUGCCGCUGGCCGUGCGCAUGGUCCAUUUGAUGCUUGCAACACUGUUGUACCGGUUUGAAUGGAAACUUCCAAAAGAAGUGGAGGAAAAUGGGGUGGACAUGGGGGAGAAGUUUGGAAUAGUGCUAGCAUUGGCCACCCCUCUCCAGGCAUUAGCUGAACCAGUUUAA